AUUUUUGCUCGCGGAUGAAUAUUUUGGUGUUACUUUAUCACGUGAUGUUAUUGACAACACAGCCAAUAAAAUCUUGUUUACAACCAGCGUCGUCAGUCACUUGCCGUUUUGUUGAGCGUGGAUGUUCGCGCAUUCGUUUAUGUGAUAGUUGAAGGUUUCGAAGACGUUAAAGAGAUGUGAAAGCGGUUCGGGACUUAGUUGUAUUCGUCUUCUUCGUAAUGCAUAUUUUUGCAAUGGGAGCUUUGUAUUGAUGGAGUGGUGCGAUACAAGAUAAGAUCAUGAAAUCUCGACAUAUCAAGAAGUGCUGUUUUCAACUUGUGCCUUGAUCCCAGGUUGCGGAUAAUUGGGUCGUGGUUUUGGCUUGUGUAUUCAUAGUCUUCACUAUAAAGUCAGCUUAGGAUCUUCCUAUAUUCUUUAAUCAGUGAUUGCCUUCAACCAUGUGUAUUGUGGUCUUGGUCUCGUGAUUUUUGCUGCUUGAAUCUUGUUCAGUGUUGUGAGAAUAUUCAUUGGAAUCCUGUUCAUUACUCUUUGUCUUCUGGUUCACAGAUCUUGUGCGUAGGAGUGCAAUUGAUUCAAUAAUGUUCAGAUCAAUUAGCAGUAUAUCGUGAAGUACAAUAAUUUGGUUUAAUAUGCAAACCACAGGAUUAAACUGCAUUACAGCACAAUCGAAAUGUGAUGGCUAGUGAAUAUCUAUGCUCUUGCAUUAAGUACAAAAGCUAAUGAGGGUGUUUGAUUGCACAUUGGACCUCAUUAACAGGAGGGCAUCAAGGGCAAAUUUGUUUGCCCCACUAAUUUUACAUCUAUGUGUUAAUUGAUUAUACAGUGUAUCAAAGUCUAAAGGGAAGAAGUUUUUUGAUAAAAUGGAAUGAUAUUGUAUAGUUAUCACAUAUUUAUUGCAGAAAGAAGUUUGUUGUAGUGAGAUAAGGAUUGUUGAUACAAGUUUCUCUGAAAUGGAGCGAAACCUUUUUGAUGUGGUAAUGUUCCGACUUUUUUUUUUUUUUGGCAUAAGAUUGGUUUUAAUUGCACAAGCUAACAAGAACAAAGGUAAAUUGUUAUUGUUUAAUUCCCAGUUACCCCGUUUCAGUUAUGUUUCACUGUAUCGAGUGCUUAGCAUGGAUUGAAAUGAAGACAGCAUUGAAAAUGCAUAUACCAAUCCCUAUAUGAAAAUGGCGCAAAGCAAAACAUUGAAGAAUGGAAUGAAUUUUUUGUUGUUUUCAGUUUCAUCUAGAUUCUAGCUAGAAGUAUCAGAUGUAUUAUGCACGGGUUAGCUUGAAUGAAAUAAAAACAAUGAGCGAUGCGGGUGUUUUGACUGAUAAGUAAGGUAAAUUGUUGACUCUGUUUUAUCCGCCUAAUAUAUCUCCGUAACGUAUCAUGUGCAUAACAUAGAUUGAAAUAAAGAUGGCAUUAUUGAAACAAUCAUGAAUGUAAAGUGAAUCCAUAGCAGCUUGGGAAUGGAAAAAAUUGCAAUGAUUAUUAAGGUAAUUGUAGUAAAUUGUGAUGCAUUGAGUUUUUAUCAAUAUGCGAACUCUGAAAGAAACAUGUUCAUUUUUUGUUUAAGCAUUUUUUGUGGUUAUUAGCAUCUUUUAUGCAUGGUGGGGGUACUAAUAUUAUGUUGGCAGGUAAAAGAAUGAGGAUCAAAAUCAAACCUAAUUGUGUGUAAAUCGGUCAUCUUCAGUUAAAGACUAAACAGGAAACAUAAUCCGUCGAUUCACUAAUGAACACCUGAUAGACCGCAAGUAGUUUACCAGAGCAGCAGUUAAUAUUGGCCUGAAAGUUCCCAUGGUUGAUUAGAGAUCUACUACUCACCACUUAGUAUGGUGCACAUUUGCAAGUUGUGAAGCCUUGAUGACAGAAAGGUUUUGUUUAAUGAAGUAUUGUAAGCAGAAUUUGUGAUGUUAGGUCCGUUCAAUUUAUCGAUGACCUAAUGUUUUUUUACUCGUGUGGAUGUGUUAAUGUCGUAUUAGCAGGUGAAACAAACGGGAUCGGAAUCGCUACGUAUUGGCAUAUAUGCAACGAUUUGCAGAAACAAGAAUCAGACUCUAAAAUUUUCAUCUGAUAAAGCUGCGCAAUAUGCUGAUGAACGCCUGUAAUUGUAGUAAAGUUACUAUGGAAAAACAAUCAACCUGAAAUGUCGCACUUUCAAAAUAUUGUUGCUUCUUGGAUUCAUAAUUGCGAAGCGGAGACUUUUCGAAAUUGUGAUUGACAACAGAUACACUGGUUUAAUCGGAUUCGUCUACAUAAAUAUAAAACAAGAAUGAUAGAAAAAAUUUUGCUCCAAAUAUUGAAGUCGAAAUUGCACAAUAAUUGAAUUUUGGUAAAUUCAAUCUUUCCAUAUAAGCUAGUACAACACAAAGUUGAUUUUUCAGAAUCUCCAAUAACUUCGAUUGAAGUAGCUGCGUCGUUUGUAAGAUUUGAAAAGGAGCGAUCGAUCAGCGUUGCAAACAAAAUUCAUGAUGAAUAAUUUAAAUGUGUUCAUGCGAAUUUAUUAUCCUUAAGAUGGAAAGUGGAACAAGCAAAAACAAAAUUAUCAAUUCUUUUUGAAUACAUAAACAAACUUAUAUCUCUUUUUGCGGCGAUUUUUGGUAAGGGGUGACCCUGUAGUUAAUUUAAUAAUGCUCGAUUAAAGAAAUAAUCCAAUAUACUGUACACUUUGUGGUAUUGUCUAAAACUGCCCGAUUGUUAGUUUUUGUAUAUUUUAGUAUAAAAAUAUUUAAAGUCUCUGAUUUUAACAAAACUAUCUAGAAGUUUUCACGAAAUAAUAGCUCCAUAUCGCUCAAUUUUUGCAUACUUGGAUCUUUCAUCAUUGGGGGGAAUUGUUGGGAGUAAACAGAAUUUGUGAUGUUAAGUCCGUUCAAUUUAUCGAUGACCUAAUAUUUUUUUUACUCGUGUGGAUGUGUUAAUGUUGUAUUAUCAGGUGAAACAAACCGGAUCGGAAUCGCUAUGUAUUGGCAUAUAUGCAACGAUUUGCAGAAACAAGAAUCAAACUUUGAAAUUUUCAUCUGAUAGAGCUGCGCAAUAUGCUGAUGAACGCCUGUAAUUGUAGUAAAGUUACUAUGGGAAAACAAUCAACAUGAAAUGUCGCACUUUCAAAAUAUUGUUGCUACUUGGAUUCAUAAUUGUGAAGCGAAGACUUUCGAUAUUGUGAUUGACAACAGAUACACUGGGUUAAUCGGAUUCGUCUACAUAAAUAUAAAACAAGAAUGAUAGAAAAAAUUUUGCUCCAGAUCUUGAAGUCGAAAUUGCACAAUAAUUUGGAUUUUGGUUGAGUGGUUUAAGCAGAUUCAUCCAUGAAGAUCCAUGUGAAUAUGAAACAAGAAUGAUUGAAACUUUUUACCCAUAGGUAAUGGAAUGAACUUUGCUCGCUGAUUCAGAUUUUGGUAAAUUGAUCAUUUUUAUAGGAGAUUGUGCUGCAAACUUGAAUACAAGUAGUGCCUUGGUUCUCACAGUAUUGAAGCUGCAUAGUUGAAAUUGAUCAAUCAAGUAUUGUAAGCAGAAUUUGUGAUGUUAAAUAUGUCCGUUCAAUUUAUCUAUGAUUUAAUAUUUUUUUUUACUUGGGUGGGUGUGUUAAUGUUGUAUUAGCAGGUGAAACAAUCCGGAUCGGAAUCGCUAUGUAUUGGCAUAUAGGCAACGAGAAUCAAACUAAAAAAUUUCAUCGGAUAAAGCUACCCAAUAUGCUGAUGAACGCCCGUAAUUGUAGUCAAGUUACUAUGGGAAAACAAUCAACCAGAAAUGUCGCACUUCAAAUAUUGUUGCUACUUGGAUUCUUAAUUGCGGAGCGGACUUUCGAUAUUGUGAUUGACAACAGAUUCAUUGUUUAAACCGGAUUAGUCUACAUAAUUAUAAAACUCGAUGAUAGAAAAAUUUUUGCUCCAGAUGUUGAAAUCAAUCAUGCACAGUCAUUUGGAUUUUGGUAAAUUCAAUUCCAUAUAGGCUAGUACAACUCAAGUUAAUUUUUCAGAAUCCUCACUAACUUCAGUUCAAGUAGUGGCGGGGUUUGUAGGAUAUGGAAACUUAAAAAGGAUUGGUGGAUCAGCGCUGCAAACUAAAUUCAUGAUGAUUUUUCAAAAUAUGUCCAUGCAAAUUUUUGGUGACAAAAUAUCAUAUCCUAAAGAUGAAAAGUGGAACAAGCAAAAUAAAAUAUCAAGUCUUUUGGAAUGCAUAAACAAUAUUAUAUGUCUCCUUGCUGCGAUUCUUAAUUAAUUGAAUACCUCUGUAGUUAAUAAUGCUCAAUCGAAGAAAUAAUCCAUUUGACUGUAUACUUGUGGAAUUGUCUAAAACUGACGAAAUUUUAGUUCUGGUAGAUUUUUCCAUAUUUGUGCGGGGUCUUAAUGUUGUAUUGACAGGUGGAACUUUGGUGAUCGGAAUUGCUAUGUUGUGGCCUAUGUGCAUUGAUUCGCUGUAGCUGGAAAGGAAUAUGAAAUUCAUCUAAUAAAAUUAUGCAAUACGCUGAUUAACGCCUGUAAUUGUGGUAAAAGUUAUUAUGUAUCUUUUUUCAAUUACAAUUGUGAGCUUUUAUGAUACAUAAUUUUCAUUAAACUUCUGCACUUUCGUGAUUUUCGGGUUGGUUACUUGCAGGUGAACAUAUCAAUGUCGCGAAAGAGCAAAAAACAAAUCAACAUAAGUCCGGCUAUCAAUGAUGAUGAAAACCAAUCCACAAGAAAGCUUGAAUGCGUAUUUUUACAUAUAGUGCUAUUUUGAUUCUUCAUCAUUAGGGAUUGGGUCCACUCAUAUUGUAAUUGGCAAGGAGUUAUCAACCAUAUUCGGUAACGAUGAUGUACAUCAAUAUGAAACAAGGACGAUAGAAAAUUCGUGCUCCAUGGUAAUGCGAUGAAUCUUGUUCGUUGAUUCGGAAUUUGGUAAUUUCCAUUAAUUUUUGUAGGAGCUAGUGCAAAAAGUUGAUCUUUCAGAAUUUUCAUCAUGUUCAAUACCUAGUGCCACGGUUCCGACGGUAUGCAAACUAUAUUGCUGAAAACAAUUGAUCGAUGAAGUAUUGUCCUUCAUUCAACUUUUUGAUGACAUAACAUUUCAUAAAGAUGGAUAGUGCCCAAUACUAUUGAGAAAAAUUGGUAAAUAAUCGGGUCCAGUGGAACAUGAAAAAGAAAUUAUCCAGUAUUUCAUAGAAACUAGAAUGUACUCAUGCGAUAUUGUGGUAAAGUAGCAAAUUUUUGAGAAGCGCCACUCAGUUUACACGAAUAUCCACCAGGGUUUGAAUAUUUCAAUGGUGAGGAAUCAUUUAAACAUCUGUAAUUGGGGUAAUCUUAGAAUAAUAAUUAGAUAAUUUGCAUCAACAGAUUUUUUUCAGUAUUUGAGUCUAAUACGACUUUUUUAAUGGCAAGUUGUGUUUGGAAAUAAGAUUUCGGAACUUUUUUAAAUUACCGGUAUAUGAGAAAAUUAUCGAUCAUGUACAAUUUUAAUGUAGAAGAAUUGCAAUAUUUAUAUCUGCUUUACUGUCAACUGCUUGGUAAUUGUUCAUUUGUUGUAUGCUUUGCCUAUUAUUAUUCGGUUGGGGGUUGUUUAUUAUGUGUUUACAGAGACGACCUUAGCUUUGCUUGACAAAGAAUGAUGGUCAACUAGACAAACUAGAAAUCCAUUUGUUCUGACGAAGUUUGGAUAGAUUUCUCUACUAAAGGUUCAUAUAUUUCAUUGCCACAAUUUUUUUUAUGUUGCCGAGGAACUAAUAUAAGGUUGACAGGGGAAAAAAAUAAAGGACAAUACUUUUUGUAUGCUUUUGGGUUUAUGCUUUGUUGAUGUUGUAGUUGGUUGUGUGGUGUUGAUAAUAUAUUUACAGAGGCGGCAUAAGCUCUGCAUUAAAGGUUUGUCAGGCUGGACAAGUUUGCAAAAAACAUGCUGAUGAGAUAUCAUUUGUCAAUGGAAUAACUUCCAAGAAGUUUUUGGGAAACAAUGAAAAUCAGAAGCGAAUAUUAACAUGAACUGUUAAUGACAACUACAAGCAAUACUAAAAUGUGAUCAUGUGACAAAAUCAUUCAAUUUACUGAUGAGAGACUGUGAUUGUGGUAAAGUUUGAUUGCAUCACCUUUGACUCGUAUUUUUCAUGUAGGAGGAACAAAUCUUAGAGCAGUGAUUUAAUCCUUAGUUUCAAUCGCAAUUCAAAAUUUACAAGUUGAUGUGAUAAAAGUAAUAAAGAAGGGAGUUAAUGCUGGUAAUUAGGUUGAAAAAAACACAAAUUUUAUUGAUGUUAUUAUUAUCUAGUAUUUGCAACGUUAUUGCAUGUUGGAUUUGAUGAUACCGCUAUUUUUUCUUAUGAUUGUGUCUUACAUUUCUCAUUUAAAGUAAUUUUUCUUUACUUGGGUGGGGGUGUUUAUGUUAUGUUAACAGGGGGAAACUUGGUCGCUACUCGGAUUCCUCAUCAUUGAGGAGCGUGUGAUUGUGAUGUUGUAAUUAGCAGGUUGAGUGAUUUAACCGGAUUUGUCCAUGAAGAUUGCUGUUUAUAUUGAACAAGGAUGAUAGAAAUCUUUCGCUCUAUGGUAAAGAAAUACACCUUGCUCGCCGAGGAAUUUGGUAAAUUCAAUAAUUUUUAUAGAAGUUAGUCCAACACAAAGUUGAUUUUUCAGAAUGUCCAUUAACUUCAAUGCAAGUUGUGCCAUGGUUCGCAGGGUAUGAAAACUGGAUAGCUGGAUAAAUUUUAAUCUGAUAAAGUUGUGCAAUACACAGAUGAUGCCUGUAGUUGUACUUGUAGUGAAGUUUAAAGAAAACAAAUCAACAUGAAAGUUUGCGCAUUAAAAAAUACUGUUGCUACCUGGAUUCUCAAUUGUGGAACGGGGGUAUUUCGAUACUGUAAUCGACAGAUUCAAGUGGUUUCGGAUUCGUUUAUGAAAAUCUAGAUAACCACAAACCAAGGACGAUAGAAAAUUGUUUACUCCAGAUAAUGAAGUGGAAUAUGCACGCUAAUUUGGACUUUGGUAAAUUCCGGCGUUUUUAAAAAUAUACUAAAACUUUAAUUGAUUCAAGUAGUGUCACAGUGCACAGAAUAUGGAACUGAAUGGUUAAAAAUGAUCGAUAACUAAGCAAGUGCAUUAAAUAGUAUUUGUGAUGAUUUAUUUCAAAUAUGCCCAUGCAAUUUUUUUGACGACUAAAUAACAUCUCAUGAAGUUGAAAAGUGCCUAAUACUAUCUAGGAUCAUGGUAAAUAGCCAAGUGAAACAUAAAUAAUAUGUCCAGUAUUUUGAAUAUCUCAGUAGCUGAUUCGCAGUUGUAUGUAGAAAUAUCUAGACAUACUAGAGAAAUGAAUCCAAUAUUCGGUUGAUUUCUGGUUUUAUAAAUAUCUGAAAAGGCAUCAUUUUUUUUUUUUUUUGGGUGGGCUGGGUGCUAAUGUCAUGUUUAGCAGGUUGAAUGGUGCAGAUUAUGGCGACACAAAGAUGAAUAUCAUCAAAAUCCAGUAUUAAGAAUAUUUUCAGCAGUACCAACAACACUUACGCACUUUCAAUUGCGGUAAUUUGAACAUAUUUUAUUGUGUAUUCUGUAUCAGACUUUUUUAGUAUUUGAAAGUACGGUAUGUGUAUAAUUUUUUAUAUAAAAGUAUUGCAAUAUUUAUAUCUGUUUCAUUGUCAGUCGCUGGUUGUUUUGAGUUUGUUACAUGUUUUUGGUUGGAGGUUGUUGAUCAUGUAUUCCUAUAGAUAUUAUUAGCUUACUGGAAAAAUGGUUGACUAAACGAUGUCACAAAUUUUUUUUUAUCUGAAGCAUAUGGUUUGCUUCUGAAUUGCUGGUAUUCCAUAUAUUUCUUUAUUAAAGAUUACUUUUUUAUGACA
Molecule: non-coding RNA, 7765 nt
Organism: Styela clava
Lineage: Eukaryota; Metazoa; Chordata; Ascidiacea; Stolidobranchia; Styelidae
Source: RefSeq, a predicted model, not a curated record